GAUCAUGGCUCAGGAUGAACGCUAGCUACAGGCUUAACACAUGCAAGUCGAGGGGCAGCAUCAUCAAAGCUUGCUUUGAUGGAUGGCGACCGGCGCACGGGUGAGUAACACGUAUCCAACCUGCCGACAACUCUGGGAUAGCCUUUCGAAAGAAAGAUUAAUACCGGAUGGCAUAGUCUUCCCGCAUGGGAUGAUUAUUAAAGAAUUUCGGUUGUCGAUGGGGAGUGCGUU
RNAcentral lists this ribosomal RNA (231 nucleotides) under uncultured bacterium. Its description in RNAcentral is "partial 16S ribosomal RNA". It matches the Rfam family "Bacterial small subunit ribosomal RNA", at positions 15 to 237 of the family's 1533-position model. The record is from RNAcentral.